Non-coding RNA from Potamilus streckersoni, 73 nucleotides. Lineage: Eukaryota; Metazoa; Mollusca; Bivalvia; Unionida; Unionidae. The record is from the annotation of a GenBank genome assembly.
GCUUCGGUGGUCUGGUGGUCAGAGCGGUUGCCUCCGAUGCAGAAGGUCGCGAGUUCGAACCCUGCCCGAGUCA